This 112-nucleotide small nucleolar RNA is filed under the name Nicotiana tabacum (common tobacco). Its description in RNAcentral is "Plant small nucleolar RNA U3". It matches the Rfam family "Plant small nucleolar RNA U3", at positions 1 to 112 of the family's 221-position model. Rfam says of the family: Small nucleolar RNAs (snoRNAs) are involved in the processing and modification of rRNA in the nucleolus. There are two main classes of snoRNAs: the box C/D class, and the box H/ACA class. U3 snoRNA is a member of the box C/D class. The record is from Rfam by way of RNAcentral. Lineage: Eukaryota; Viridiplantae; Streptophyta; Magnoliopsida; Solanales; Solanaceae.
ACAACCUUACUUGAACAGGAUCUGUUCUAUUGGCUCGUACCACUAUAUCCUUGAGUUCUAAGGAGACAGGAAACCAAGUCUGGUGGAUGAAUCAUGGCCAUUAGGCCAGCCC